RNAcentral lists this ribosomal RNA (245 nucleotides) under uncultured archaeon. RNAcentral describes it as "partial 16S ribosomal RNA". It matches the Rfam family "Archaeal small subunit ribosomal RNA", at positions 474 to 717 of the family's 1478-position model. The record is from RNAcentral.
UCCCGGCAGUCCAAGUCGCAGCCACAUUUGUUGGGUCUAAAAUAUCCGUAGCUUGCCUUGUAAGUUCUUUGUGAAAUCGGGCCUCUUAAGGGUCCGGCGUGCAAAGAAUACUGCUUGAGCUAGAGACCGGGAGGCGCAAGAAGUACAAUAAGGGUAGCGGUAAAAUGUGUUGAUCCUUAUUGGACUAACAAUCGCGAAGGCAUCUUGCGAGAACGGUUCUGACAGUGAGGGAUGAAGGCUAGGGG